This 253-nucleotide ribosomal RNA is filed under the name uncultured bacterium. Its description in RNAcentral is "partial 16S ribosomal RNA". It matches the Rfam family "Bacterial small subunit ribosomal RNA", at positions 524 to 776 of the family's 1533-position model. The record is from RNAcentral.
UACGUAGGGUGCGAGCGUUGUCCGGAAUUAUUGGGCGUAAAGGGCUUGUAGGCGGUUUGUCGCGCCUGCUGUGAAAUCCCAUGGCUCAACUGUGGGCUUGCAGCCGAUACGGGCGGGCUAGAGUUCGGUAGGGGAGACUGGAAUUCCUGGUGUAGCGGUGAAAUGCGCAGAUAUCAGGAGGAACACCGGUGGCGAAGGCGGGUCUCUGGGCCGAUACUGACGCUGAGGAGCGAAAGCGUGGGGAGCGAACAGG